GGAUUCUUAUAGGACAGUAUGUUCUUCCAGGACAGAACAUUCUUUGCUAUUUUGUACUGGAAGAACAUGCAAAACUAAAAAAAAAAAAAAAAAAGUUAUUGCU
RNAcentral lists this microRNA precursor (103 nucleotides) under Pan troglodytes (chimpanzee). RNAcentral describes it as "miRNA". The stretch from base 9 to 78 matches the Rfam family "mir-567 microRNA precursor family". The record is from RNAcentral. Lineage: Eukaryota; Metazoa; Chordata; Mammalia; Primates; Hominidae.